CCAGUUUCAUCCUCGAGAACAUUUAAAUUCCGGUGUUCGUUCCUUACCGGAGACACCAAGAAUUUCAUCAGCCAGAAGGUCAGAUGUUGAGCACAGGUUGUCCCUUCAAAUUGACAAAGAGAAUUUCUGUGAAAAAAUUGAAUUCAAGAAAAUGGGUACAAGGAGAGAAUUCAAGAAAGCGGAUGAAAAUACAAAUCAAGGCCAAUAUGCGAAGCAGAUGGUGAAGCAAAUUAAAGAAAAUAUCAGCAGAAAAGUUGGUAUUGAUAUUACUAACACAAUCAGAAACAGUGAGAUAAGACGCGAUGAACAUCUUGUUCUACUGAAGCCCAGAAAUUCAUCCAGGAUUUUAACAGGACUUGACGACGAAUCCAGGCCUUGGAAAGGUUCAAAUCCAUCCAGGAUUUCAACAGGUGAAUCCACUCCUGUAAAACAACCAAAUCCAUUGAAGAUUUUAACAGGAUUCGACAAUGAAUCCAGGCCCGGAAAACAACCAAAGCCAUCUUUUUCACCAGGGCUCCGGUUCUUGGAGUCUAAGAACAAACCCGUCGAAAACUCAGUCCAAAAAUGCAGGAAAGUUGCAAGUGACAAAUACUAUUCAUCUACCAAGAAACCUCCACAAGCAUCUGAUGCUAUCAGGAACAAGAAAGAGGAACCAUUCAUUCGUUCAGCAAAACCAAAUCUUUCAGACAAGAAGAACAAGAAAAAUACUCCUUUGUCAAAUGAAUUUUCCAAUAGCAAGACAGACCCUUCACGUCCAACUCCAAGCCUCCCAAAUGUAAAACUGAAAAAGUUUGAUGACGGAAGCUGCAAUUUUACGGUACUGAUAUAAUUUAGUUCUAUUUUUGGGUCCUACAACUUGUAAUUGUUUAUCUUAUAAUUUUUUAAUGAAAAUCCAGUCGCAGGUAUCAGAUGCUCUUUCAUCGAAAAAGAGAACACAGUUAUCUAGUUGUUCGAGCCCAUCGUACAAUCAAGAAACAUUCAACCAAGAAAACAUCAAACCAGACAAACGUAACGGUGCUCCUACCUCCGGUAAUCGAGAUUCCAAUCAGUACAUUCAAAAAAUCCUUAAACGUACUGGGAUUAUAGACAAUGGUACCCCAGUGUCGUUGGCUAAAUGGUACUCCCCUUCACACCCUCUUGAUCC
RNAcentral lists this long non-coding RNA (1144 nucleotides) under Olea europaea (common olive). Its description in RNAcentral is "long non-coding RNA (OEUR_LNC011680)". The record is from RNAcentral. Lineage: Eukaryota; Viridiplantae; Streptophyta; Magnoliopsida; Lamiales; Oleaceae.